CCCCCGCUUCCGCUCCGUGCGGCUCCCGCAGCCCGGCGGCUUCGUUCCGCCCGCGGCAGCCAUGACGCGGCACGGGAAGAACUGCACGGCCGGCGCCGUGUACACCUACCACGAGAAGCGCAAGGACACGGCCGCCUCCGGGUACGGGACGCAGCGGCUGCGCCUGGGCCGCGACGCCGUGAAGGACUUCGACUGCUGCUGCCUCUCGCUGCAGCCCUGCCGCGACCCCGUCGUGACGUGAGUGACCCCCCCCCCAAAAAAAUCCCGGCCCCGAGAAGGGCUAUAGCCCUAAAAAGG
Molecule: long non-coding RNA, 297 nt
Organism: Oxyura jamaicensis (ruddy duck)
Lineage: Eukaryota; Metazoa; Chordata; Aves; Anseriformes; Anatidae
Exons: 3
Source: RefSeq, a predicted model, not a curated record